UGGAAGAGGAGGCCCCAGAGCCAGCCCCAUCCCUGAGCUGCUGAUGGGAGGGGAGGAGGGCUGACAGUCGGGAGCAAGAAGGGAGACUGCGGUAACCGCCCCGUCCCCAGGGGGCCUCUCGUCUGAUACCUCGGUCUGGAAGGCGUGCCCAGCUGCCCUUCCGCAGGAGACACCAGUGUGUAGAGCAGAGCCCUUCCUUUCGAGAGGGUCUUCACGCUCUCAUCGUGGUCGGCGGUCGCGGGAGAGGGGCCCUCCUGGACCCGCAAGCACGCCCACUACUGCCAAAGACGCCGCGGCUGGUCUCGCAGCAGCGCGUCCUCCGGCAGCCCCAGCGAGUGAGCCCGGGGCUCGGGUGCGGAAGAUGAUAAAGAGGCUCCACCUGGUGGCCGCAGCGGGUCCUGAAGGAGCGCGUCCUCCGGCAGCCCCAGCGAGUGAGCCCAGGGCGCAGGUGCGGAAGAUGAUAAACAGGCGCCACCUGGUGGCCGGGUCGGUGAUUGGCCCCAAGAGCAAUAAAGACAAGUGGGAACCUGGGCCAAGGCGCCUGUGGCAAGGGGGUGAGUGCUUGGACCCUGCCAGAAGGACGUCUCGGGUUGCCGGAGGGUCAUCUGCAAUGUGGGCAAGCACCGGGAGGCGGCACCGCCAAAACUCAACGCUCUCGAAAAAAAUAAACGAGAAGGACUAAGAGAACCAGCUGCUGUGCGUCUUGGGGUGUGACUGGUUCACCCUCCGCGGUCCAUGCAUAUCACCUUUGAGCUCCUGGGCAGGAAAACCCUUGAGUUCCCGAAGGAGAAUAACAUCCAGCCAUUCCCCUCCCACAUGUCUGGCACAUGGCCCACCAGCUCUGCCACACCCUUAGAUUUCUGCACGAGAACCGGCUGACCCACGCACACCUGAAAACCGAGAACAUCCUGCAUGUGGAUUCUGAGUUAAACACCGUCUACAGCGAGCACAGGAGCGAUGAGAAGUCAGUGAGGAGCACCAGCGUCCGAGUGGCUGACUUCCCCAAUGCCACCUCUGACCGUGGGCACCACAUCGCCAUGGUGACCACGGUCACUGUCGCCUGCCUGAACUGAUCCUUGAUCUGGGCUGGACACGCCCCUGCCAUGUCCAGGGCAUGGGCUACCUUCUCUUUAAGUACUACCAGGUUUCACACUCUUCCAGACCUGUGAAAACCAAGAGCGCCUGGUGAUGUUGAAGACCCUACGGCUCAUCCCAUUACGCGUGAUCUCCUGUACCAAGAAGCAGAAAUAUUUCUACAAAUGGGGCCUAGUUUGGGAUGAGAACAGCUCUGACAGCCCAUAUGUGAAGAACUGCAAACGUCUGAAGAGUGACAUGCUCCAAGACUCUCUGGAGCACGUGCAGCUGUUUGACCUGAUGCGGAGGGUGGUAAAAUUGGACGCUGCCCAGCACAUCACUCUGGCUGAGACUCUUCUGCACCCCGUCUUUGCUGGCC
This 1453-nucleotide long non-coding RNA is filed under the name Homo sapiens (human). RNAcentral's name for it is "non-protein coding lnc-OR11L1-2:1". The record is from RNAcentral. Lineage: Eukaryota; Metazoa; Chordata; Mammalia; Primates; Hominidae.